This 300-nucleotide ribosomal RNA is filed under the name uncultured Alteromonadales bacterium. RNAcentral describes it as "bacterial SSU rRNA". It matches the Rfam family "Bacterial small subunit ribosomal RNA", at positions 115 to 418 of the family's 1533-position model. The record is from RNAcentral. Lineage: Bacteria; Pseudomonadati; Pseudomonadota; Gammaproteobacteria; Alteromonadales.
GCGUAGGAAUCUACCUGGUAGUGGGGGACAACAUGUGGAAACGCAUGCUAAUACCGCAUACGCCCUACGGGGGAAAGCGGGGGAUCUUCGGACCUCGCGCUAUCAGAUGAGCCUGCGUUAGAUUAGCUAGUUGGUGGGGUAAUGGCCUACCAAGGCGACGAUCUAUAGCUGGUCUGAGAGGAUGAUCAGCCACACUGGGACUGAGACACGGCCCAGACUCCUACGGGAGGCAGCAGUGGGGAAUAUUGCGCAAUGGGGGAAACCCUGACGCAGCCAUGCCGCGUGUGUGAAGAAGGCCUU